Molecule: long non-coding RNA, 3094 nt
Filed under: Marmota monax (woodchuck)
Lineage: Eukaryota; Metazoa; Chordata; Mammalia; Rodentia; Sciuridae
Source: RNAcentral
GGGGAGCCAGGCGCGCGUGUGUGCAUGCUCUCACACACACUUGGAUAAAAAACACACAGAGAUCCGCAGCAGACAGACAUACAAACACAGCAGCUUGAAUAUAUACUCAGAUUUGACCUCAAACAUUGUUUCCCAAUACUAAAACACCAUUCAGUGACAGAGACCCAUUCCCAGAGACACAGUUACACUCAAGUGAAACAAAACUGGACCGGUUAGGGGAGAUCUUCUGGAAACACAAAGAAGUCAUACAGCCAGAGGUAGGAGGAAGGAAAGAGACAUGUUCUCAGUAAGAGACAGACUGGAAGUAACUUUUAUACCAUAAAGGAAUAUGAAUAGAGUAGUUCAAGAGAAUGAGAGGAUGUCUGAUCUUCCCUGGGCCAGGUAUUGCCCCAUUUUGUACCAGGAAACCCUACACGUAGUCAGGAAGUGGUUACUCAAGGUCAUGCAAAAAGUCAAGGUUAGAGGUAAAAACAGAAAUAAAGAAUACUAUGUCACUUCCCUGUGCCCUGCUAUUAGGGCCCCAGGCCAGUAAACUGUGUGUGCGUGCGUGUGCGUGUGUGUGUGUGUUUGUGCAUGCAUGAGAGAGAGAGAGAGAGAUCAGCACUGGCUUAAGCAACAUCCGUGUAUUAGUUCCAACAAAUGUUUGCAAAGGCUGGAAGACGGUAUAUCUGUAAAUGUGUAUUUGAGGAUCUGUGUGCACACACAUGGGAACAUACAUCAUAGUAUAAAAGGCUGUAUGAGUGUGGUCAUGUGUAGACAUGUCUAUGCAUAGACUAUAAGGCCCAUAGAGGCCUGUCUUGUUCCCUUUCACCUAACAAAGGGCUUGGUACAUAGUGUAUACCCAAUAAAUACUUGUUCAAGAAUGAAUAAAUGAGCAGAAUCAUUCUGGGGACUCAGCUAUGGUUGCUCUACUUGGGAGAGCCUGACUACCACUGAAGAGACCAUGAGCAGUCUAGCUUCUGGACAAGAUCUGUGAAGCAGGGAGACGCACCAUGGGGCAGGGUGGCAGCUCUGGCAAUCUACACUGCCAUCCUUUUUUUGUUGUGGGCCCUGUAGUGUGUACAUUGUCUAGGGUAAUAAUGAGUUUCAUGAGUUAUUUCAAACUAUUCUGUGGUGGUGGUGGGGAGAAACAAGAGCUAUCCAUUUGUUACACUUGUGACAGGAAAGUGAGAAAAGGGCAAUAGUGCACAGAAACUCAAGAUGGAUAGACAUACUGACUUAACACACAAACUGACGAGUAGAUUUAUUUUUAGACAGACUAAAAGACAAAUAGAGAUGCAGAUAAAUAGAUGUACAGAUAGACACAGACUGACAUGAAUAGGCAGGCAGGUAGACAAACCCAAGGAGUGACUGACAGAUAGACCAACAGAUAGGCAAACCAAUCAAUAGACAGAUAGAUAGAUGGACAGCUGAUUGCACAGAAAAGAUGGAUGUAUAGUUUGGUAUAUAGAAUACAACAGACUCUGUUAGUGGCUUACCCAAUAGCCAUAUCCCACAUUCCACCCUUCUCCUUGCCAAUGGAACCCACUUUAGUUUGGUAUUUGGAGUCCAAGUGCUAUAGGAAAGGUUGAACCCCUCCAUUACCCCAGAGGUGAGUUAUAAUAUUCUCCAAAAACCAUAGUUAAUGCCAAUUUCCUUGCUUGGCAUCAAUUCAGGAAUGGACAUGAAAUAAAAUCCUAACUGUUGAAAUGUGGGAAGUGGUCUAUGAAGGAGUCUUUUGAGAAAAUUUACCUUAAUCUAAAAAGGGUCAUUUGGAGAGUGGGUGCAGUGGUACACAUCUGUAAUUCCAGUGGCUCUGGAGCCUGAGGCAGGAGGAUCGCGAGUUCAAAGUCAGCCUCAGCAAAAGUGAGGCACUAAGCCACUCAACGAGACCCUGCCUCUAAAUGAAAUACAGAAUAGGGCUGGGGAUGUGACUCAGUGGUCAAGUGCCCCUGAGUUCAAUCCCCAGUACCAAAAAAGUGGGGGGGGGGUCACAUGGAAAAUGUGUGCCCCUCAUCUUUUGGAUUUUAUACUUUGCUAUGUUAAGAUGUAAUAUAUUUAGCAGCUGCAGACUUUUUGACAUCUUGAGGUUCAGCCUGUGUUCAAAAGCUGUGCCAAGGGCAGCAAAGAAGAGAUAUGAAAAGAAUUUAGGUGCUGCUGAUGCCACUUGGCCACAUUAAUCAAUUGGGGAAUCUUCCUGUCCUCAGAUAUCUUGUUGUAUUAGAGAACAUAUUAUCAUCUGAGCCCCUAUUGGUAGGAUCAUCUGUUGCUUGUGGCCAAAAGCAUUUUAUUGCUAUACAGAUCAACUGACAAUCUGACAAAUAAUGCAAAAAUGGAGAGAUGGACAAAUGGAGGAACAAACAAAUAGAUAUUCAAAUAGAAAUAUUCAGAUAGAAAAAUGACCAAUAAUAGACUAAUAGAUUGACAAUAACAAUAAUAAACCAAUUAUUUAACUGAUAGGACAGUAUGGUAGAUAGUAGUAGAUAAGCAGACAGAUUGGCUAAGGUGAAUUAGACAAACAGAAAAUAGAUUGGAACAUGGAGGCACAAAUGGAAGGACAGACAGAUGAAGACACAGGUAGACACACAGGCACUGACACUAUCUCCAGGAAACGGUCAGCCUGAUGGGGACUCCCCUUCUCAGUGUUCCCAUGACUGCUUGUACAUAACACUAUCUCAGCUCUCAUCCAUGGGGUGGUGAAAAUUGACUUCCUUGUCACUCUUAUUCAUGAUAAUUCCCAGUUCACAAGUUCCUUGAAGACAGAAAUUCCAUCUUCCCAACUUUUAAUAUCCCCAGACCAGCACAGAACUGAACUCAACAGAAAAUGCUCAAUAAUAAUUUAUAUUUUGAAUGAAUGGAUGAAGAUGGAAGGAGGAAGGGACAGAAGGAAGGAAGGGAGGCAGGAGGGACAAAUACUAAGAAGGUGAACAAAACAUUAUACAGAUAGAUAAAUGGACAGAUAAUUUGGCAAAUAGUUUGACAGACCAACAGGGAGACAGAUUGAUAGCAGGUCCAUGUGUGCAGCAGCAUGCCUAUUUCAGACGAACAGAGAAACAGAAUGAUCAGUGUGUAGAUAAACGAACUCUGUGCAUGUGUGGGAGAGCGUGGGGGGAGA